GCGACCAUCUCUGUCGGCGCUAUCAUCUGAUCCAAUGAUAAAGACAGUGAAUAUGCCACACUCACCGGGUCACCGGGUAUAUGGAUGAUGCUCUCUGCUGGUGCCAAUAAAAUAGGUUACUGUUCACUCAAUUGGGAGUUGAGAAUUUUGAUAACUAGAAACAGAUUAGAUUAUUUGCUUUGCCUUCUCUUUUUAGCAAUAGCCAUUUGCUUUUUUGAAGUAUUGUGAUGGCCCUAGGCUUAUUUAAUAGGUAGGAAGCAUUCGUUUUUACUCACCGAAGCAACAACACAGUGUGGUCAAAGACUUAGUAAUUUAGUUGUAGCAAGCAGCCAGUGUUAGUUUUAAUUUCAGACCCAACAUUCAUUACGAUUCAUUUGUGGCCCAAAAAUGAGAAGCUAGCUUUGAAGUGGAACCGGUUUGUCCGGAUGAAGCGAGCGGAUUGGAGUAAGGGAACCGCAGGCACGUCUACUGUAUGCGGUGCUCAUUUAACCCCAGAGGAUUUCGAUGGCUAUAACCAGCGGAAGGCAUGAUUCGGAAUGUGACUGAAACCAGGUGCUUUGCCGAGCAUGAAGGUGAAGCCUGCAACCUGUUUCUUACUGGUAACUUUACAUUGCGAGUGUCAGCAAUGAUGGAGAUAAGCCGGUGAACCAUACUAGCCGUAGCAUCCUGUCCAUGUCCCUUGUACUGCGUGGCUCUCCUCAUCCCUCCGCUUCUCCGGCCUGCUGUGAAACAGCUUGAGUACUCACGCAGAAGCUGAAUACCACCUCAGUCCAACAUCAGCCUUCUGUCACGCUGCCAUCAACACACCUGCAUCCAGCCCUAAACUGAUCCCUGUUUGUCUGCUGUAACUGUCAUUAGGGUUUUAUUACACAAGAGUUGUUCCCUUGUAUCCUCUGCCCUUGUUUACUUCCCAUUACUGAGAUGAGAUAAUGGGAUUAGAGUAAGCAGCACCUGUAACAAGCCUAACUCCACACCCGCCCUCGCUCUAUGUUCAUCGGAUGUUGUGCUACUUGACACUCCUCACAACAAGCGCUGCACAUCUUUGCUGCUGCCGCCAAGUUUUCAGAGUGGAACUCAAUUACCCAUAAAGAAAUGUAUACAAAUA
Salvelinus sp. IW2-2015 is the source of this 1105-nucleotide long non-coding RNA. RefSeq lists it as uncharacterized. NCBI's taxonomy places the organism in Eukaryota, Metazoa, Chordata, Actinopteri, Salmoniformes, Salmonidae. The record is from RefSeq and is a predicted model, not a curated record.